Molecule: ribosomal RNA, 485 nt
Filed under: uncultured bacterium
Lineage: Bacteria
Description: bacterial SSU rRNA
Rfam family: Bacterial small subunit ribosomal RNA
Source: RNAcentral
CGCUGGCGGCGUGCUUAACACAUGCAAGUCAACGGGGAUUAAGUUGGAAGGUUCGGCCUGGAAGACUAAUUCGAGUGGCGGACGGGUGAGUAACGCGUGAGCAACCUGUCCCAGACAGGGGGAUAACACUUGGAAACAGGUGCUAAUACCGCAUAAGACCACGGGGUCACAUGGCUCUGGGGUAAAAGGAGCAAUCCGGUUUGGGGUGGGCUCGCGUCCGAUUAGAUAGUUGGUGAGGUAACGGCCCACCAAGUCGACGAUCGGUAGCCGACCUGAGAGGGUGAUCGGCCACAUUGGAACUGAGAGACGGUCCAAACUCCUACGGGAGGCAGCAGUGGGGAAUAUUGGGCAAUGGGCCGAAAGCCUGACCCAGCAACGCCGCGUGAGUGAAGAAGGCCUUCGGGUUGUAAAGCUCUGUUAUAGGGGACGAAGGAAGUGACGGUACCCUAUAAGGAAGCCCCGGCUAACUACGUGCCAGCCGCCGC